GCAUUACAGCGUCCACCUUGGUCUCUGGGAUCACGCAUUAAGGGAAAAGCUAUCCAUUAUGUCAUAAGGACUCUUAAGUAGCUCAUGUUAAUUGAAUACCUCCUAUGUGCCAAGAACUGAGGCCUCCCACCAAAGGCCAGCACUAACUUGCCAGACAUGUGUAUGAGCCACCGUGUUAGUAGAUUCUCCACCUCUGGAGGAAGGUUUCAGAUGGCCACAGCCCCAGCUGGCACCUUGACUGCUUUGGAUGCCCCGAUUUCAGUGAAGAACUGGAAAGAAAGCACAUGGAGAAGAUCACAAAAGUGGACACGGGCUGGACGCGGUGGCUCAUGCCUGUAAUCCCAGCACUUUGGGAGGCCGAGGAGACAAAACCUGAUAGGGAGAAACAGAGACAUCUCUUAGACUGGCUGUCUUCUGAUUACAUAGCUCACCAACUACAUGGCAAAAUAUGGAAAC
RNAcentral lists this long non-coding RNA (456 nucleotides) under Homo sapiens (human). Its description in RNAcentral is "HSALNT0362009". The record is from RNAcentral. Lineage: Eukaryota; Metazoa; Chordata; Mammalia; Primates; Hominidae.